AGCGCAUCAUGCAACUGGUCAGUAAUUGUUUUAAGUAGGGUAAAUUGUCAUUGUUUAUACUGAAAUUCAUAUAUUUGUAAGAAAUAUUUAUCCUCUGUACAUGAGUAAUUUAUGGGUUUCCUUUAUGGAGAACUUGGACUUAUGGACGUUAUGGCUCAAGAUGUGUCAAAUGACUUUCAUGUUUUUGUUUAUUGAGAACUUGCCCUUAGCAUUACUGUUGACUCUCUGGUUUAUAGCUGCCUGCAUUAUUCAGCCACUUAACUUUUUUGGUAUAUCUGUCUGGGAAUUGCACAGGUCCAAGAAAAGAAGGUUAAG
This 315-nucleotide unclassified non-coding RNA is filed under the name Hevea brasiliensis (rubber tree). The record is from RNAcentral. Lineage: Eukaryota; Viridiplantae; Streptophyta; Magnoliopsida; Malpighiales; Euphorbiaceae.